RNAcentral lists this ribosomal RNA (531 nucleotides) under uncultured eukaryote. RNAcentral's name for it is "SSU rRNA". It matches the Rfam family "Eukaryotic small subunit ribosomal RNA", at positions 505 to 1052 of the family's 1831-position model. The record is from RNAcentral.
GGGAUUGCAAUGAGAACAAUUUAAAAACCUUAUCGAGUACCAACUGGAGGGCAAGUUCUGGUGCCAGCAGCCGCGGUAAUUCCAGCUCCAGUAGCGUAUAUUAAAGUUGCUGCAGUUAAAAAGCUCGUAGUUGAAUUUCUGUUUGUAAGAGUCGAAGCUUUACAGCUAAGAUUUCUUCGAACAUCUGUUUGCAAGCAUACGUUCGGCCUUCACUGGUUGGCUAUGUAAGCAAGCGCUUUACCUUGAGAAAAUUAGAGUGUUCCAGGCAGGCUUCAGCCGGAAUACAUUAGCAUGGAAUAAUGGAAUAGGACUGGGGACUAUUUAUUGGUUUGAGGCUCCAGUAAUGAUUAAUAGGAACAGUCGGGGGCAUUGGUACUUAACAGUCAGAGGUGAAAUUCUUGGAUUUGUUAAAGACUAACUAAUGCGAAAGCAUUUGCCAAGCAUGUUUUCAUUAAUCAAGAACGAAAGUUAGGGGAUCAAAGACGAUUAGAUACCGUCCUAGUCUUAACUGUAAACGAUUCCAUCUUAGAA